UAUAUAUAGUCCGGCUACUAUACUUUUAUGAGUACGAUCGCCCUCGUACUCAUAAGUUGUUUUCGAUGAUAGAGCUUCUGAAUCGACGAUCCAUACCGUCAAACAUUAUCUAGAACAUUUAAAACUUAUAGAAAUUAAAUUUCAUAAUUUUUCGACAUUAUUUACCUUACGAUCAAAAGUUCACAAAAUUGACAAUUUUUAACGGCCGGUAUGGAAUACUUACUAGUUUAACGGUAUAAUAGAAUUGGAAUAGAUUGAAUUUUUAAUAGAAAAUUCUAUUCACUACCUAGAUAAAGAUCAAUAACUCUGAUCUUAAAUUGAAGGAUCCGAUCAUCCAUUUUUAGGACAAUGUUCGAUUUUGACCGUUCAUUUUAUGCCCGUUUGAUGGACUUUAUUAUGAUUUCAAAAAAUUAUGAAAUUUAUUUUUAGAAGUUUCAAAUAUUCUAGAUCAUAUUUAACGGAGUGGAUUAUCGAUUCGGAAGUCUCAUUAUCAAAAAUAACUUAUGAGUAUGAAGGCCCUAAUACUCAUAAUAGUAUAGUAGCCCUACUCUAUAAAUAUAGGGAAAACUUUAAAAACCCCCCUGUGGUUUCGUAGUUUCUCACUUUGCCCCCCUGUGGUUUAAAAUGUAUCAAUUUGCCCCCCUGUGGUUUAAUUUUUAUCUUUUCGGUAGCUUUUUCGUUAAUAUUUUAUUAAAUUAUAUACAAAAAACUUUAGAUACCUAUCUAGAUUUAUCAAAUAUUUACUUUAGUACCAUUUAAUUUUAACUUUAUUACUGAUUUAAGAAAAAAAAAAUAAUGAAAUUGAUAAGAAAAAGAAAAAAAAGAAACCAUAGGGGGGCAAAUUGAUACAUUUUAAACCACAUGGGGGCAAAGUGAGAAACUAC
Molecule: long non-coding RNA, 884 nt
Filed under: Ananas comosus (pineapple)
Lineage: Eukaryota; Viridiplantae; Streptophyta; Magnoliopsida; Poales; Bromeliaceae
Description: long non-coding RNA (ACOM_LNC008334)
Source: RNAcentral